UACGUAGGUGGCAAGCGUUGUCCGGAAUUACUGGGUGUAAAGGGAGCGCAGGCGGGGAAGCAAGUCGGCUGUGAAAUGCAUAGGCUUAACCUAUGAAUUGCAGUUGAAACUGUUUUUCUUGAGUGGAGUAGAGGUAGGCGGAAUUCCGAGUGUAGCGGUGAAAUGCGUAGAUAUUCGGAGGAACACCAGUGGCGAAGGCGGCCUACUGGGCUCUAACUGACGCUGAGGCUCGAAAGUGUGGUGAGCAAACAGGAUUAGAUACCCU
RNAcentral lists this ribosomal RNA (265 nucleotides) under uncultured prokaryote. RNAcentral's name for it is "partial 16S ribosomal RNA". It matches the Rfam family "Bacterial small subunit ribosomal RNA", at positions 524 to 788 of the family's 1533-position model. The record is from RNAcentral.